RNAcentral lists this long non-coding RNA (292 nucleotides) under Populus trichocarpa (black cottonwood). Its description in RNAcentral is "long non-coding RNA (PTRI_LNC002902)". Lineage: Eukaryota; Viridiplantae; Streptophyta; Magnoliopsida; Malpighiales; Salicaceae. The record is from RNAcentral.
GCGGAUGGGGUACAUUCCUCACUCUUAGAGGCAGGUGAUUCUUCACAUGUCUUCGAGCCCGACCAAUCGGAUUUAUCACAAGAUGAAGAAGAUAACUUGAGCAAGAGUCUUUUGCCUCCGUACGUCUUUCCAAAGCUUGAAGAUGGUGAUUACUCUGACCCGCCAGCAAGUUUUGAAGAUCAUGCCUUUUGGUGCUGGUCAUACUAAGUUGCACUUGGUAUAUAACAUGGUUUCUGUGUCUUUCUUCUUGUUUACAGCUUGUUAAUCAUUAAGCAAUAAUCCCAAUCCAAAU